This 218-nucleotide long non-coding RNA is filed under the name Solanum tuberosum (potato). Its description in RNAcentral is "long non-coding RNA (STUB_LNC000670)". The record is from RNAcentral. Lineage: Eukaryota; Viridiplantae; Streptophyta; Magnoliopsida; Solanales; Solanaceae.
AUAAUCAAACCAUCAAUAACAGUAACGUAAGCAUGAGACUUUUUGGUAGUACCGGCGAACCAAAUGGCCGCGGCGAUGGAAUCUGGGACGGAGGACUUGUAGUAUCUCUCUAGAUCUGGCAAAAGCGAAAGACCCCCUAACAUAAUUCGAAUGGAGGCUGACCGCUGAGCCCACUCUGGCCUCGCGGGGCGGGCCCCUGUGGUUGCGAGCUGGAGCUG